UGAGAAAUAAACUGCCACCUCUCCUUCUUCUAAGUGACACCAGGCAGUGAUUACAGAAGUGCUUCCCAGAUGAAAGACAGUAGUUCAGUCUUUAACUCUUGGUAGAUUGUAAGCAUAGCGCACCAAAGGGAAUCCUCUACUCUGGUAGAAGCAGGCUCGUCCACAGGCAGACAAAGGAAUCUUCUUCAUCUGCAUAAUCAGAGUGGGCCGACUGUGUGCCACAGUCGGACCAGUAGCCCUCAGGUCUUUGGCAAGAAGCCACUGCCAAUGCAGGACAGCUGUGUGAUUUUAUCAAGUGUUUGCAUGAUACUGGCUUUGUUAAAAGAAACGAUUCGCAGCAGUCGCAAACAGUCAGGUUGCCCUGCAAAUGUGAGUACAUGCCACAGUCGUAGUAGAAAUCCUGUUCCAGACAACCACCUUGGCUACUGAUGGAAACUGAAACUGAUCCACUUUUCUUGGUAACACGUCGCUUCAGUAACUUCCAGUCUUCUUUAAACUUUGGGUUGAAGAAAACAUACAGGACUGGAUUCAGGCGGAAAUGGCAAACAAAGGGGUGAUGCAGAAUAUUCCCCUCUAUGGAAAAGGGGAAAACAGCCUGCUACUGUAGCACCUAGGAAAGCCAAAAGGGCAGCAACCCGGAACUGUUUGAGAUGAUUGCUCUUCCCAUUUUUCAUUAUAUCUUUUGCAGAUAAGCUUCUUUCGACAGUUGCUAGCAUUAAUAAAAAUAUGGCACUUUCUGAGGAGAAAACUGCAAGAAACCCAGCUACUUUGCAGCCACUGCCAGUUUCCCACCAAAUGCCAAAUUCAGCGAAUCUGCCCCAGGACACAGCAUCAAGAAAAGUUAGGAUGCCAGUAUAGAUUCCCAUGAAUAAGUUAGACACAGAAAUCAAGCCUAUAAACAAUUUGGACGAAGGCAGUGAUGUACAAGAUGCAAAUGUUGUUAAAAUAACAAGCAGGUUGAAAAAUAAUGCAACCAAGAAAAUGAACCACACAGUAAGACGAAUCAUCCAGCUUCCCAGUAAAUAUUCACAGGGCUUAAAAGCACCUA
RNAcentral lists this long non-coding RNA (1048 nucleotides) under Homo sapiens (human). RNAcentral's name for it is "HSALNT0173288". The record is from RNAcentral. Lineage: Eukaryota; Metazoa; Chordata; Mammalia; Primates; Hominidae.